Molecule: long non-coding RNA, 1417 nt
Filed under: Anser brachyrhynchus (Pink-footed goose)
Lineage: Eukaryota; Metazoa; Chordata; Aves; Anseriformes; Anatidae
Description: lncRNA (ENSABRG00000018156.1)
Source: RNAcentral
CCAGCCUCCCUCCUCCUCCUCCUCCCACCGCCGGGUCCCCCCUGGCCCAGGCCCGCAGCUCCCCCCGGGUGCACCGGGACGGGCGCCCCGGGGAAGGGCAGGGGGCCCCCGUCCUGUAACAGCGCCCUCGUGGCCGCAGGCAGCCGGAGCCGUGUGUGCGUUCAGCAGCGCUUUAUUGUGUGCCCUCGGUACAGGCCCCGCGCGCUACGCGUGCCCCCCGCUCCCGCACGUCCCCGCACCGCGGUGCCAGCAGGCGUCGGCGCUCCGUGCCCACCGCCCGCCCGCUCGUCCCACGGAACCGCCGUCUCCAGGCCCCCAGAGGGGUCCGUGGGGGCCGCGAAGGGCAGCGGUGCUCGGAGACUGGGCAGCGGUGCGGUCAGGUGAGGCCGGGUCAGUUCAGCAACAGCACUGCGCUUGGCCCCGGCCCAUCACAGCCCGAUCGUGCAGCUGGGGGCGAUGGCACGCGGCGAUGGCAUGCAGCAAUGGCACACGGCGAUGGCACGGCGCUGCUCAUCAGGAGGCGACAGGAGCGGCGAGAGCGCAGAAACGCAGAGCCACGCUGGGGCACCUCGGGGUCAUCGCCGCCCUUCCUCAGGCUGCAUCCCCUGCUGCAGUUCCGCCUGGAAGAAAGAAAGAGCUCGCGAGACCUGAGCAUGCAGGAGCCCUUCUCCGAGGUGUUUCCGAAGGCUGGAAGGAGGUGCUGCCUGUACACGCGGCCUGCCGGUACCGCCCGGUACAGAGCGCAGAAAAACCCUGUGAAGCACUUGAACAUGAAUGGCUUAUGUGAAACUACGAUCGUUCCUUCUCAAGUCAGUCACCGUUCUCACGCUGGGGCUGCUUCCCCGUUAAGCUCCAGCUGCACAACCCCCGCGCCGCCCCAGACCGACGGCUCCGCUCAGCGUGCUCCCCCUGCCCGGCCGGGGCCGGUGCCAGCGCCGCACCACGGUUCGUCCCGGCUGUAAUUUCACCUCGGUGAAGGAACCUUACUGCACAGACCCUUAUAGGGACAAGAAAUACGUCUAAUUACCAUAUCCUUAGAAUAGACGUAAUAUAAAUUUCAUUACUCACUUAAAAGUUCUAAAGUUAACAGCAUAAACUUGAAGUUGAGUAAUUAAGUAAUCCUUAUAUAGACACUUAUUAAAGUAUUUAUACAUAUUAUCUUAAAUCUACAUCUAUCAUUUUGCCAAUUAAAAUUAGGACUUUAAUUGCAAUUAAGUAAUUUAAUUGCCAAUUGAACAGCAAAAUUGCUAAGUGACUAAUUUUAAUGCCUAUUUUAAUUACCAAUCAUGACUGGGGAGGGAGCUAAUCAAGCGGUAUCAGAGUAAUGAUGUGAAAAAAAACGGAGAACAAACAUUCAAGACUACAUGCUUUUAAAAAAGAACUCUAAAUUAAAUAAAUGCAAACACAAUUUUAUACA